RNAcentral lists this ribosomal RNA (373 nucleotides) under uncultured eukaryote. RNAcentral's name for it is "partial 18S ribosomal RNA". It matches the Rfam family "Eukaryotic small subunit ribosomal RNA", at positions 592 to 976 of the family's 1831-position model. The record is from RNAcentral.
CAAUAGCGUAUAUUAAAGUUGUUGCAGUUAAAAAGCUCGUAGUUGAAUUUUUGCUUGCCGCCGAUGUCGGUACUUCCGUACGUUCGGCGGCGUGCAUCCUUGGGUGGAACCUGUGUGGCAUUAGGUUGUCGUGCAGGGGAUGCUCAUCGUUUACUGUGAAAAAAUUAGAGUGUUCAAAGCAGGCUUACGCCGUUGAAUAUAUUAGCAUGGAAUAAUAAGAUAGGACCUUGGUACUAUUUUGUUGGUUUGCGCACCGAGGUAAUGAUUAACAGGGACAGUUGGGGGUAUUCGUAUUCCAUUGUCAGAGGUGAAAUUCUUGGAUUUCUGGAAGACGAACUACUGCGAAAGCAUUUACCAAGGAUGUUUUCAUUAA